Molecule: ribosomal RNA, 404 nt
Filed under: Actinomycetes bacterium
Lineage: Bacteria; Bacillati; Actinomycetota; Actinomycetes
Description: Actinobacteria bacterium partial 16S ribosomal RNA
Rfam family: Bacterial small subunit ribosomal RNA
Source: RNAcentral
UGGGGAAUAUUGGACAAUGGGCGCAAGCCUGAUCCAGCCAUGCCGCGUGAGUGAUGAAGGCCCUAGGGUUGUAAAGCUCUUUCACCGGUGAAGAUAAUGACGGUAACCGGGGAAGAAGCCCCGGCUAACUUCGUGCCAGCAGCCGCGGUAAUACGAAGGGGGCUAGCGUUGUUCGGAUUUACUGGGCGUAAAGCGCACGUAGGCGGACUAUUAAGUCAGGGGUGAAAUCCCGGGGCUCAACCCCGGAACUGCCUUUGAUACUGGUAGUCUUGAGUUCGAGAGAGGUGAGUGGAAUUCCGAGUGUAGAGGUGAAAUUCGUAGAUAUUCGGAGGAACACCAGUGGCGAAGGCGGCUCACUGGCUCGAUACUGACGCUGAUGUGCGAAAGCGUGGGGAUCAAACAGG